GGGAAGGAGAACACCGGGGAGGGGGCCACCAGCAGCAACAGAAAGCAACUGGAAAUGGCCCUAAUGACAGAGAAAGCAUAUCUGAGGGCUGAGCAUGCUCAUCUUCCUCCCCAUUCCCUGCCCCUUGCAGCCUCCCCCGACACAGACAGCAGCGUGGCCAGUGGAAGGACAUCAGAGACUUGCAUUUCAUGGGAAACAGCAUCAGUGAAAGCCACUCGACACUAAAUAAAUAAAAAAUUUCUCUUCUGAGAACAGAUGUUGGAGUUGAGCUGACUGCCUUGCCACCUGGGCAGCCCUCACCCUUUCACUGGCAUUUUUGCUCCGUGGACAUUGCCUGCACCAUUAAGGAGCUGAGCCUCAGUGCCCUUGCUGGCAGCUGUCAUGUUGGAGAGGAUGAAUGUGUCCUAAACUGUCAGAAAUCUUCUGUUGCCAGAUCCUUUCUUGAUGGUAUUUAGAACAGUUUCAACACAUCUGCUGUUUUGUUCUGGAGGAUUGGGUUGGAAGCUCUGGAGUGAGACGCAAGGAACAGCGUCAUCUAUGCCUGCUGUCAGAGCUUUUCAAACACAAAAUGUAUCAACACGAAUGAUGCCAUAUGUUCUUCAUCGCUGCGAAUUGCGUGCCUUCUGACAACAAGAUAGAGGAGGAAGAUUUAUCAGGAGAAUGUUGCCAGAUGCUGUCCAGAGAACAGAGGCGGUCUGUAGCUCUGAGCUAAGGCUAAGUGCUUGUUCCAUACCAAGCCAGUAAACUUCUGGCAUUGUAACAAAUGUGUAUGAGUAUUUGAAGGUUUGAGAGGGAGACGAUGAAUAAUAACGUCUCCUAAUUGAAUAGGAAUAGAGUUAGCUUUUAAAGCCUCAGCAAGUUUGUUGGUUUUAUUUAUUUAUUUUUAUUUUUACUAUUAUUAUUAUUUGCAGAUGUUCAAAUUAAAGUACAUGCCAUUAUAAAAACAAAACAAAAGAAAAACCCUUGGAUGUUCCAAUCAUCUAUUAAAAUAGUAGUUUGGUAUAAUUUGUGGAGCCUGUGAGCUUUAGAAAGUUGUUUUGCCUGUUUGGUCCCCUUGAUGAUGAUGUUGGAAUAAACUACAAACUAACUUUGAAGAUGACAGCUAAGUGGUCUUCAGCUAGUGAUUGGUAGAUUGCUAAUUAGCUCAUAUGAAAGAUCAGGUUUGUUUCUGUGCUGACCACGUUGCUGUUCCUACCGAACACACAACACUUUCAAAAGAUGGGAAUACAUUUUCUACUCCCUAUUCCCAGAGUAAAAAUCAGAAGAGAUAAAUCACGUGAGAAACUAGCAACAAGAAUAAGAAAAGCAUUCUGAAUUUGGAGAAAGGUUGUUUGGAGAAACAUUGAGUGAAAGAAAUGAAGAAACCUGGGGAAAAUAUACCUGCUCUGUUGAAAAAAAAAAAAAAAUAGAGGCAGAAUGAAAAAGCGAACCAUUUGCUUGGUUCAUCAGUGUGUUCUCAGUUGUGAACCAUUUGAGUGGAUACAUGCUUAAUUAUGAUCCUGCAGGAGUAUGUACAUCAGCUGCACAGUUGAUGGGAAAAAAAAGAAGAUUAAAAUGAAUACGUUCUGCGAGUACCAAGAUGGGUAAGAGUUGAAAUAAAUGCAGGUUAAGGAUAUGCAUUUGAAGAUUUGAGAUGGAGAGAAUGAAUUAUAUUCUCAUUGGGUAGGGAUACAUUUGGCUUUGGAAGAUGGAACUCAGCUGUAAUUGUCCGUUUCUGACCAAGAUGUUACAUCCAAUUUCUCUGAUCACUUAAGGAGGGACUGUUGAUUUAAGUUAAGCUAUAGUUUCUGUCUUGUUAUAGAAAAGAAAUGGAAGCAGUGGGUAAUGUACAUAAAGUGAGGACUGAUAAACAGAUCAAAAGAAACUCCAACAGUCGCUUAGAUUUGUUUAAACUUUUUUGUUCUAUUUUCAUCAUCACGUAUGUGCAAACUGAAAAGAUGUAAUAUUAUCAGAUUGAUUUCUGUAACUGAACUUAAAGAAAAAAUAUGAACAGGAUGAGGUAACGUGGACAAAGAGAUCCCAUAUUAACCAUGACAUCUCCAAACACAUUAAAGCGUUUCUCUCAGUAGGGAUAAAUGUAUCUCUGUUAUUAAUAGGAAUCAUGACUAGCAGCUUACUAAUACAUAGGUGAAAUGUCUGUAUAUGUAGCAAAGUACAUAAAGGCAGAUGAGUAAAAUACUGAGCACUUCAAAAAAGAGGAGGCACAUAAGUUAAAAAUAGAAAUGAUUAUUACAUUAUGAAGUUCUUUAUAAAUUUUGGAAUAUCUUACAUCAUUCUACAGCACUGGGAUUAGAAAAAAAUAACACUGUGUGGAGUUACAUGGAGCAUAUUUUUAAAUGUUUAUGAGAGAGAAAUGAUCAAAGGGAAAUACCACGUGGUUAAACCAGAGGUUUGUCACUUGUGAACACUAAUAUUCAAAACUUUACGUUAUGUGUACAGGUCCAAUUUAAUGCAAAGAGGUGUUCUGUUUUUUCUCUCUCUCUCUCUCUUUUAUUUUCAUUAAAAGAGCCAACCAGGUAAUUUGAGAAACGUACAACAGUGGUUUACAUUUAACAUAUUCCUACUGCUGACAUACAAUCCUAUGUUCACCUGCUCACUCAGGGUAUGAUAAUCCAAAACAUGUUCUGUUUUAACCCUGCUAUUUAUCUGUGAAGAUGGCUGAGAGCAGGACUAAGCUUCCUGGUGAGUUUCAUUGGCCAGAUACUGCUAGAUCAAAUUGCAGAUCAGCCUGCACAAAACAGCUGGGAAGACCUGCAUCUACAGGUCAGAAGACCUGCAUCUCUUUUGAUACAAGAAGGCAUAUUCUGUAAAAAUUUGCUUUCAACUGAACAAAGAGAUUCUGAAGCCAAAUUCCUGUCUACUAGAAUGGGAAGGGCAUGCUGGUAGGAAAUGGCAUUACAAAGCAUAUAGUCAGAGAAAUGGAAACAAAACUGCAGUGUCCUAGACGUCAGAACACUCCAGAUACCGUCAGCGAAAGGACAAGAUCGGCGCAGUGAUAUGCAUCCCAGAAAGGCAGGACAACAGCUCCACUGUAGCUUAUUUCUAUGAAUACAGAGAGCUAACACAGUAACAGUCCGUACCAGAAGGCAAUAGUGCUGUGUUAGUGGCUUAAGGACAAUAUUAAAUCUUCCAAAACAUACAAAAAUAUCCCUGCAAAGCAGGCUGACUUUGAACAGACUGCCAGUGGAGGAUAAGGAAGACUGGCUUGUGAUCCUUCUCAGGAAACCUGUUAAAAAAACUUCCUACAGAGUCCUCAACAUUACAGAAGUACGCAAUACCUAACACUGGUUUGUGGCAGCCCCAUAAGCCACCACAGAGAGAGAUGAUCAUUUAUUGACGCAGGACAACUGUUGUGCGACUCUUCACUCAACGCAUUUAUCACACGGAAUUUUUCACACUAUAGAUUGCAAGAGCCUGGUGUCCUUAAAUUAGCCUUGGCAGUCUUAGCAUCAUGUAACAGAAGAUCCAACAUUCCGCCUCCCAGUAACAGCAAAGGGCCACCCCAGCCUCCAUGUCAGGGCCUGAUCAUGCACUGCAGUGCAAAUAGUCUUCUCGCAAAGUUCUAACAUUUUAAACAGAUAAACCCUCCCGAAUAAAGAUCUCCAUACAUGUUAAACCUCCUACCUGCAUGCAUUUUUCUUUCAUUUACCAUUUGUAGAGGUAGAGCACUUAGCGUAUGAUAAACUGCAGAGAGUUCCUGUCUGAUGAGACCAAACCAAAUAUACUGUGCUUUAGGCAAAAUAGUAACACAUCCAGCACUCUGUUAAGGGCUAUGAUAAACUUAAUCUAGCUUGGUUUGCCUGUGGAGAUAAACAACAGAUUCACUAUAUAAUGUUGAUGUUUAUUUCUUUUUCCAAAGCACUGAGCAGACCCUUUUGAAAUCUCUGUAGAAUACCCCUCUUAAGUAAACAGGGCACCAAGCUGAAGUUCAGUCUUUGCUUACAUACACAAACUGAAAGAGCCAAAGGUGUAACAGGGCUGCUGCAAACUCCCUUCUGUGCCUUGGAGGAAUCUUACACUGGCACAAUAAGGAGUUUAUUUGCUAAUUAGCUCAUAGGAAAGAUCAGGUUUGUUGUUAAAGCCUUUUCUGAUUAUGAUGAGUGACAGUACUCUUCAGCAACGUGUGAGUUUGUUACAGGAAAUUUUAGUGAAGGGCUCUUUUGUUCUGCCUCUACUAUUCUUAAAAUAUUGUCAUAUUGAAUGCACGUAUCUGUCAGUUUGUCUUAGUGCUCUGACUGAGAGCUGUAACUGGUGAUGAAACCAAGGUCCUGAGCUUUGUGUCUUUGCAAAGUCGGAAGUGAUGGGUUUGUCCAUUUACAGAGAAAAAGAUGAGUUGGAAUAAUCAAUUCCAAGACUGGAUUUAGCCGUAAGGUCUGGACUAAAGUUCAGUGUUUUCACCUUGCGUCUUAAUACUCUAAUAUUUCAGUUUCAUUAAUAUUUGGAUAUAUUUAUU
Long non-coding RNA from Gallus gallus (chicken), 4453 nucleotides. The record is from Ensembl. Lineage: Eukaryota; Metazoa; Chordata; Aves; Galliformes; Phasianidae.